AGUUUAACGGCCGCGGUACUCUGACCGUGCGAAGGUAGCAUAAUCACUUGUUCUUUAAUUGAGGACUCGUAUCAACGGCAUCACGAGGGCCACACUGUCUCCUUUUUCCAAUCAGUGAAACUGAUCUCCCCGUGAAGAAGCGGGGAUAAUUCCAUAAGACGAGAAGACCCCAUGGAGCUUUAAACCCAACAGCAACUCUGAAUGACUAAACCACAAAAUCAAUUGAACCCUGUAAUUGUUGGUUUUAGGUUGGGGUGACCGCGGAGCAUAGGCAAACCUCCACGACGAACGGGACUAAACCCUAAUCCAAGAGCCACUACUCUAAGAAUCAAUACACUGACUUCUAAUGAUCCGACCACUCGAUCAACGAACCAAGUUACCCUGGGGAUAACAGCGCUAUCCACUUCAAGAGCUCCUAUCGACAAGUGGGUUUACGACCUCGAUGUUGGAUCAGGGUAUCCUAGUGGUGCAGCCGCUACUAAAGGUUUGUUUGUUCAACAAUUAAAACCCUACGUGAUCUGAGUUCAGACCGGA
RNAcentral lists this ribosomal RNA (534 nucleotides) under Indirana chiravasi (Amboli leaping frog). Its description in RNAcentral is "partial large subunit ribosomal RNA". It matches the Rfam family "Bacterial large subunit ribosomal RNA", at positions 1921 to 2620 of the family's 2925-position model. The record is from RNAcentral. Lineage: Eukaryota; Metazoa; Chordata; Amphibia; Anura; Ranixalidae.